CCUACGGGAGGCAGCAGUGGGGAAUAUUGGUCAAUGGGCGCGAGCCUGAACCAGCCACGUAGCGUGAAGGAUGAAUGCCCUACGGGUUGUAAACUUCUUUUGUAGAGGAAUGAAGUGAGGCACGUGUGCCUUUUUGUCUGUACUUUAUGAAUAAGGAUCGGCUAACUCCGUGCCAGCAGCCGCGGUAAUACGGAGGAUCCGAGCGUUAUCCGGAUUUAUUGGGUUUAAAGGGAGCGUAGAUGGGAUGUUAAGUCAGUUGUGAAAGUUUGCGGCUCAACCGUAAAAUUGCAAUUGAUACUGGCAGUCUUGAGUACAGUUGAGGUAGGCGGAAUUCGUGGUGUAGCGGUGAAAUGCUUAGAUAUUACGAAGAACUCCGAUGGCGAAGGCAGCUUACUAAACUGACACUGACAUUGAGGCUCGAAAGUGUGGGUAGCAAACAGGAUUAGAUACCCCUGUAGUC
RNAcentral lists this ribosomal RNA (460 nucleotides) under uncultured bacterium. Its description in RNAcentral is "partial 16S ribosomal RNA". It matches the Rfam family "Bacterial small subunit ribosomal RNA", at positions 338 to 795 of the family's 1533-position model. The record is from RNAcentral.